CUGGAGAUCCCUCCUUUUGGAGUUUUACAGCAAGCCCAGGAUAAGGGCUCAGCCUCCAUCUCCCCACCCUUCCUCCUUUCCCUUUUUGGACCGGUGAGCCUGCUGUUCCCCUGUCAUGGACACAGUCAGGUCUAGAUAACUCCUUGACAAAUUCUUAUCAAUGAAUCCCAUGUUUGCAUAUAUUUUUGGAAAAUCUUGAGAUACCAGAGAUCUGUGUGAUAUAAAUUGCUGAGAAAUAUCCUUGAAGAAAAUCUUGGGUUUAGACUGGAAGGUUUUGCAAAAUCACCUUUUCAUUUUCCUCUCUUAUUCUCUAACUGUACAUAUGAGGACUGCUUCUUACCAGACUACUCUGAAGAUCACAGGUUGCUGUUAAGAGCAAGAAAUAGGAGAUGUGGUUUAUGAUGCCUCUGAAAUUUGGAGAGAAAUGUUCUAGGAAUUACUUCAUGGCACAAAAAGGUGACCCUGCUGCCUCCUCCAGCAGCUGCUGAUGCACAGGCAGCCCUCAGAGAAAGUAGUAAGAGGUACAGAGUGUUUGGGGGCUCCAGCAUAGGAAAUGUCAUCUAACCACGACAAGACUGAUGCCUCUUCAGGCACAUGAAGAAACAAUAACAGCUGAAUUGUGGAUGGAAAUGUUAAACACAGGUGUUUGUGGGCACCAGAUGCAUUGAAGAAUUGCUGAUUUUGUGAUGAUUUCGAGGACAGUAGUUUUGAAUUUAGGUAUCUGGAUCCCUUAAAGUCCCACCUUAAGCAUCAAAACUCUUCAGAACCUGGAAAAAAGGCCAUGAGAUAUGCAAACAAUGUGGCUGACAUUUGUCUUGAAGGUAUGCACAAGGAAAGGCAUAAGGGAAAAGAGCUUGAAAUAACUCUAAUUGCAUGUUUUAAAUAUUAAGAUGCAGGAAGUACAAGUUUCAUUACUUGAACUUUUAUAUUAUAUUUAAGUUUCAUUGUAUCGUCUCUUUUAAAAUGUGGAGAUGUGAACUAGGAAUAAAAAGGGAAGGUUAUAGGAUGAAAUUGGGGAUAUAUUCCUGUAGCCUGAACCGUAAGUGCAUAGUUACAAUUCUGUAUGACUUGAAGAUUAGUGUAUGUCAAAGAUACCUAGAUACACAAAUACAGGAAAUUAAAUGUAUUGAUAGGUAUAGAAAAACAGAUUUAUUGUCUGAAUUUGCACAUUGAAUUUCUGACUAUGAAGCUGCUACUACAUCUUCUUUUGGUUGCUCAACUAACAUAUAUAUAUAAAAUCAAUAUAAGCAGAAUUUUCACUGUAUCCUUAGGUUAUGUGUUCACUGCUUACAUGAUUUGUAGUAACUACAAAACAGGUUUUUCUGCCCUUCUCAUGUUCCAGGAACAACUGAAACGUAAGAUUCAAGUGAACACAUAUGCAUCACAAAACCUCUUUUUGUAUCAUCUUGUAUUGUUUCUGUGGUCUCCAUGCAGUGGUGGGCUAU
This is a long non-coding RNA of Tympanuchus pallidicinctus (lesser prairie-chicken), 1445 nucleotides long. RefSeq lists it as uncharacterized. The record is from RefSeq and is a predicted model, not a curated record. The transcript is spliced from 4 exons. Lineage: Eukaryota; Metazoa; Chordata; Aves; Galliformes; Phasianidae.